AGGCAAGGAAGGCGAAGUGGAGCGGGGUGUGCGUCUGUGUGUGUGUGGGGGGGUGCACGUUCCGUUGGCAAAUGGGGCAGACCACCACCUCUCCCCUCCCCUCCCGCGCGCGUCCCUCGGGCAGAGCGGCCGUGGCGAUCGUCACUGUGCAGCGGAGGGGAUGAAUCAAGCAGGCAUCUGAGCGGAGCGCGGGCACCUUCCGCAAUCCAUUCAGGCACUGAAGCGCGUGAAAGGCUGCUGAUCGCUGCCAUUGUUACACGCGGCCGAUGUGGGAACCGGAGCCUCAGCUCUGGCAAGAGAUAAAUAGCCUCUGACAGCGCCUCCUCGCCAGGGAAUCGCCUCCAAUUGCACGCGGCGGAUGCUCCCAGAGUUAGAAGUCGAGGCCUUGUGGCUUCUCUCUCAGUUGCCGGUGCGCUGCAUCUGUGUCACAUGCCUCACAAAAUCUGAAACAUGUUCUUUCCUGUCUGCCGAGCGCGCACCGGCGCUCUGUGUGCGCCAGGGCCAACGCCGGCCGACGUUUCCACUCGAACUGCAACCACUGAGAGUUGAAAACAUGGUCGUCCCCGCACGCCUAUUUAUGUUUACGCAGAAGUAAAGCCCCAUUGAUUUCAGUGGAACUUGCUCCCCAGUCCGUUUGUUUAGGAUUGCAGCCCAAGUGUGUGACUUUCCAGGACGGAACACAAUCCCUGUUAGAAACUUGGCAGCGGCAGCCGGAGAGGUUUUUCGCCUGCGAGCACACAUUUUGAGCACUUUGGGGCCAGCAGAAAGCCACGCAUUGCUCCGCCACCCAUUGGCCCAGAAAAACAGCACGGACUUCCAGCCCCGGCCCCCUUCUGCUGCCGCGCCAGAUUCCUGGACUUCGCGAUGAACAGGCUGGCGCGCUCGACGGCGUUGAAAUAGCUAAUCGCUCGGGAUGUCGCAGCUCCUAGCAUACUUACCUAGGUAUAAACAGUUUAUUCAGGCAACGUAAGAGUGUUUUAAGGACGCUGCAGCGAAAAUUAAGAGCGAGGGCUUGGUAUAAUCACCUCUGUAGCCAGUGACAAUAAAAUUCCAUUCAUUUCCA
Molecule: long non-coding RNA, 1063 nt
Organism: Lacerta agilis (Sand lizard)
Lineage: Eukaryota; Metazoa; Chordata; Lepidosauria; Squamata; Lacertidae
Exons: 3
Source: RefSeq, a predicted model, not a curated record